GCCAUAUAGAUUUUGAAAUCUGAACAACAAUCGAACUAACUCAUGAAUGAAACUAUCCACACAUGAAACAGCUGCACAAGCCAGUAAAGUCAACUCUCCCUACAAAUACCAAACGCAUGUGGCUCACCUGCUUGAAAUCCUCCAAGAGUACAAGAGAUGGACCAUAUCUGUCUCCCUCAAACCCAUGUGUUGGAAUCCUAUCCCCCAAUGUGAUGGCAUCAGUAGAUGAGGCCUUCAGGAAGAAAUCAGGUCAUGAGAGUGGAACCCUCAUGAAUGGGAUCAGCACCCUCAUAAGAGCUUCCCCUCUAUCUCUGCUAUUUGCCAUGUGAGGAUACAGGGAGAUGGCUGUCUGCACAUCAGGAAGAAGGCCCUCACCACAUACCAGAUCAGCUUAGCACCUUGAUCUUGGAUUUCCCAGCCUCCAGAACUAUGAGAAAUAAAUGUGUGUUGUUUAAGCCAUG
This 461-nucleotide long non-coding RNA is filed under the name Mustela putorius furo (domestic ferret). Its description in RNAcentral is "lncRNA (ENSMPUG00000025969.1)". The record is from RNAcentral. Lineage: Eukaryota; Metazoa; Chordata; Mammalia; Carnivora; Mustelidae.